Molecule: long non-coding RNA, 357 nt
Filed under: Homo sapiens (human)
Lineage: Eukaryota; Metazoa; Chordata; Mammalia; Primates; Hominidae
Description: non-protein coding lnc-HUS1-3:1
Source: RNAcentral
GGGAAGGUUGAAUUAGUCUUCUCUGCCACGCCUGAGAAGAUUCAAGGGUCCGAACACUUGUACAACGACCACGGUGUGAUUGUGGACUACAACACAACAGACCCACUGAUACGCUGGGACUCGUACGAGAACCUCAGUGCAGAUGGAGAAGGUGCGUGUGUUCAUCUUGUGUGCAGUUAUGGAGGCAAAGGGCACAGGGAAGACAGCCCACUCAAAUAUCUGAAGUAUUUUGCAGUCUGCUAAGAAGAAAAAAUUUCCCCUGUUUUCUCAGAGGUCCAGAAUCACACCUUCGUGUGACACAGUUGUGAGUUUUGAGGGUCUUCGUGAGAAUAAGGCAUGGUGAGUUUGGGUCAGGGC